Mustela erminea (ermine) is the source of this 908-nucleotide long non-coding RNA. RefSeq lists it as uncharacterized. The transcript is spliced from 3 exons. Lineage: Eukaryota; Metazoa; Chordata; Mammalia; Carnivora; Mustelidae. The record is from RefSeq and is a predicted model, not a curated record.
GACUUUGCAAUCAUCGUGUUCAGACUUCUCCUUUGAAAGCUGAGGAAACAGAUGGAUAUGGAUGAGAUGAGCUCAUGGUCAGGGCCAAGUGCAGCCCAUGAAGCACAGUGAGGACUCCCUGGCGGGGACAGCGUGCCAGGCAUUGGGCGGGCCGCAGAGCUGAGGAGGGUGGCCUGCUCUGAAGGAGCUCCCAGUACCAGACUGCUGUCGAGAGGGGUGGACAAGGGGGUCUGGGGUGAGAGGCCAAGUUCCCAUUUCAGACGUACUAUAGAGUGAUUCAACCAUUCUGGAUAUUACGCAGCAUCGAACAUGAUGGGAUGAUGAGUAUGAUAAUUUUGAUUAACUGAUUGAUUGAAGAAGAAACCCGCGAAGGCAAAAACGCCAGGGCCCAUGAAAGUCACAACAGGGCCCUGCCAGCCUUGCAUGGAGCCCACAUGGGGCUCUGGGCCUCCUAGUUUCACUUCUCUUCUCAGCGGUCUUCUCAGCAUGGACAGGAGAGAAAUGGCAGGGUCACACCCUGUUCCUGGAGCACUUCUAUCAGGACAGCUGCUUAUCUCCUCGGAGCACUCUCUUCCUCACUAGCAUCAAGGCGAGAUGAAACGCAACCAUCCUAAUCUGGAAUAAGAGUUCAGCUGGUAUUAGUUCUCUUUUCCAACUGCCUCCUAGUUGCAGAAGUGGCCAGAAGCCGUAUCUGAAAUACAGAUUACGCAGGAAAGUAGCAUGUAAAAGUCAUAACCAAAUGACUUGAUCAGAGCCACCCAAAUAAAAAGGUAUUUUAUUUUCAGGCAACACUGAACUCAUGCCCUGAAUUGUUGCCUAUAAUCUUUUGAAAUGUAUGUGGGGUCCUGGUUUAGGAUUGAGUCACUGGGUCUAGAAACAGAGUGCUUGGGUUGGAACUUGGUUCAAUC